AUCUGGCUGGCUUAGUUGGUGGAGCAUGUGACUCUUGAUCUCAGGAUUGUGGGUCCGAGCCCCUGUUGGAUG
This 72-nucleotide transfer RNA is filed under the name Ailuropoda melanoleuca (giant panda). It matches the Rfam family "tRNA". From Rfam's summary of the family: Transfer RNA (tRNA) molecules are approximately 80 nucleotides in length. Their secondary structure includes four short double-helical elements and three loops (D, anti-codon, and T loops). Lineage: Eukaryota; Metazoa; Chordata; Mammalia; Carnivora; Ursidae. The record is from Rfam by way of RNAcentral.